This 822-nucleotide ribosomal RNA is filed under the name Escherichia coli. RNAcentral's name for it is "partial 23S ribosomal RNA". It matches the Rfam family "Bacterial large subunit ribosomal RNA", at positions 419 to 1242 of the family's 2925-position model. Lineage: Bacteria; Pseudomonadati; Pseudomonadota; Gammaproteobacteria; Enterobacterales; Enterobacteriaceae. The record is from RNAcentral.
GGGACACGUGGUAUCCUGUCUGAAUAUGGGGGGACCAUCCUCCAAGGCUAAAUACUCCUGACUGACCGAUAGUGAACCAGUACCGUGAGGGAAAGGCGAAAAGAACCCCGGCGAGGGGAGUGAAAAAGAACCUGAAACCGUGUACGUACAAGCAGUGGGAGCACGCUUAGGCGUGUGACUGCGUACCUUUUGUAUAAUGGGUCAGCGACUUAUAUUCUGUAGCAAGGUUAACCGAAUAGGGGAGCCGAAGGGAAACCGAGUCUUAACUGGGCGUUAAGUUGCAGGGUAUAGACCCGAAACCCGGUGAUCUAGCCAUGGGCAGGUUGAAGGUUGGGUAACACUAACUGGAGGACCGAACCGACUAAUGUUGAAAAAUUAGCGGAUGACUUGUGGCUGGGGGUGAAAGGCCAAUCAAACCGGGAGAUAGCUGGUUCUCCCCGAAAGCUAUUUAGGUAGCGCCUCGUGAAUUCAUCUCCGGGGGUAGAGCACUGUUUCGGCAAGGGGGUCAUCCCGACUUACCAACCCGAUGCAAACUGCGAAUACCGGAGAAUGUUAUCACGGGAGACACACGGCGGGUGCUAACGUCCGUCGUGAAGAGGGAAACAACCCAGACCGCCAGCUAAGGUCCCAAAGUCAUGGUUAAGUGGGAAACGAUGUGGGAAGGCCCAGACAGCCAGGAUGUUGGCUUAGAAGCAGCCAUCAUUUAAAGAAAGCGUAAUAGCUCACUGGUCGAGUCGGCCUGCGCGGAAGAUGUAACGGGGCUAAACCAUGCACCGAAGCUGCGGCAGCGACACUAUGUGUUGUUGGGUAGGGGAGCGUUCU